Molecule: long non-coding RNA, 629 nt
Filed under: Junco hyemalis (dark-eyed junco)
Lineage: Eukaryota; Metazoa; Chordata; Aves; Passeriformes; Passerellidae
Description: lncRNA (ENSJHYG00000000545.1)
Source: RNAcentral
CAAGGUCAACCCAACCCAAGGUCAACCAAGGUCAACCCAAGGUCAGCCAAGGUCAACCAAACCCAACUCAACGUCAACCAAGGUCAACCCAAUCCAAGUCAAGUCAAACUCAACCAAACCCAACCCAAGAUCAACCCAAGUCAAGGUCAACCAAGGUCAACCAAACCCAUCCCAACCCAAGUUCAAAGUCAACCAAAUCCAAGUCAAAGUCAACUCAACCCAACCCAAGGUCAACCAAACCCAACCGAACUAAAGUAAACUCAAAGUCAACUCAACCCAACCAAAAGUCAACCAAGGUCAACCCAACCCAACUCAAAGUCAACCCAACCCAACCUAAGGUCAACCAAGGUCAACCCAAUCCAAGUCAAGGUCAACCAAACCCAACCCAAGAUCAACCCAAGUCAAGGUCAACCCAACCCUUGGUCAACCCAACCAAUGGUCAGCAAGGCCAAACCAACCCAACGACCAACGCGAGUCAAGACCGGACAAUCGAUGGUCAACGUCAAGACCAACCCAACGGUCAUCUCAAGACCAACCCAAUGGUCAGCUCAAGAUCAAGACCACCCCAGUGGUCAGCCCAAUUAACCGUUCACGAAAUCAAGACCAACCCAACGGUCAUCUCCAUCCAU